This is a non-coding RNA of Pelobates cultripes (western spadefoot toad), 237 nucleotides long. The record is from the annotation of a GenBank genome assembly. NCBI's taxonomy places the organism in Eukaryota, Metazoa, Chordata, Amphibia, Anura, Pelobatidae.
CCCAGCUCAUCAUGCUAGAGCACUUUUUCAAUGUGCUCCCCAAGGACAAGGCGACGACGCAUUCGUUUGUCAAUCCAUAUCAACGUCCGAUGCCAUUUACUGUGCCUACCAUGGUGACUACGGGUAACAGGGAAUCAGGGUUCGAUUCCAUACAGGGACCCUGAUAAAUGGCUACCACAUGCAAGGAAGGCAGCAGGCGCACAAAUGACGCACUCCCGACGCGGACAGGUAGUGACG